RNAcentral lists this unclassified non-coding RNA (2300 nucleotides) under Hevea brasiliensis (rubber tree). The record is from RNAcentral. Lineage: Eukaryota; Viridiplantae; Streptophyta; Magnoliopsida; Malpighiales; Euphorbiaceae.
GCCUAAUAAACCAUUUAACACCAAUUCUAACCAGCAGCAAAACUAUGAACAGAUCAUUAGAUACAGCUUCAGCAACAUGCAAAUUAGUCAUCAAUAACCCUUCAAAGUAUGCGAACUCAGCUAGUGCAUCAAUAACCGACCCACUGAUGGGGAUCUUAUCUCUAUUACAAACAAAUUUAAGUCUGACAUUCACAAGAAGCAAAUUGACACAUCCUAGCAUACACUAGCUAUGGAAGCAAGCAAAACCAUUACCCCAUCCAAAUGUGAUGCAUAAAUUCUAAAUAUUCACUCCUAUUUGAAUGAAGAAAUUCAUAAGUAGCGGUAACUCUAUUAAAGCCUGAAGCCCUGAACCAUUUCAACACAUCACUAGUAUUAAACAAUGCAUCAUAGUAGACAAGCAUAGACCCUUUGCAUGUUGCUUAGCCCGUUUUCAAUAAAAUAACUUGCCAAUAAACAUUAUAAAAGCCAUUAGCUUCAUUCCAAAAUCUAACAACACUACAGCUAAAGACUCUCCGGUGCUCUAAACAUUUGAAAUGACAAAUGAUCUAUUCCAGGUUGCCACAUCUUGUCAUAAGAGACAGCUGACAGCUCAAGUCAACAUACCGCAAGAUGUUCACCACACAAAAUUGAUUAGCGACCAGGAACUCGAAUGAUUGAGAAAUUUAUAACUUGUAAUGCCAAUAAUCUGCAAACAAGAUUGACAGUGGUGACACCGCCUAGCUGAAAAAUAGCCUCUCUCAGGUUAACUUCACAAUUUCAACUGUUACGCCCUCUUCAAAUUCCAGUCCACGCUGAAAAACCCCCCUCACUGAACACACACCCACUAUGAAGCUCGGGCCAUGAGUGGACACGUGACUCCACCUUAGAACUCGAGCAUCUCCUCCUGUACAACACAAGGGCAAAUACAGGGGGAAAAUGAUUAUGACAUCUUCAAAGUGUCAACUACCACUAUGAUUAUCGCUAUCCAUUUACGAAGAGAUCAACCCAAGUGGCUCAUAGCUCCACAGCUAUCAGUAAAAAACCUCUGCAUGCCUACUUUCACACCAAAUCAAGCAUAUCUAAUUCUAGAUUUCCCUUGUAAUCUUAUUCCUAGUCAGAAACAACAAAAAAAAGUGAAUGAUGGUAAGAUGUCAACAACAAAAUACCCAACUGCAAUCAAACCAACACACAAAAUUUAAAAGUGCAAUAGAUUAAACACUACGAUAGGGAAUGAAAGUUUCCAGUAAGCUAGCAGACAAUUAUAAGCACGCCAAACUUAGACCACACUCAGCAAGCAAAAAUAUUAAAAAAGAAGGGCAUCUAGUAUGCCCUGAACUAGUUAUCAUAGACUAGCAAAAUAGAUAGUGCAAACUACUGGGAUUUAAGCAAUCCAACCAGUCCCAAUGAGCAUCAGCAUCCAAUUUGAGCCACUCCCCCUGCCGCUGGGAACAAGAAAUCUUUGGAGGACCUCAUGCGAAGUACGGAAAGUACCCAUAAAACACUGAUGAAGAUCCAGUUGGCAUCAAUGUGUUCAUGAUCACUGUUGUUGGCCUUGCCGACUCUGAGCACCACCAUACCCCCCGCCAUAACCAACUUGCCCACCAUGAGGUCCAUUUGCCUGAGGAGUCCCAUAAUUUCCGGAAGCUUGUGAUGGCUCAGAUCUCCAACCUGCAUUUCCAUAUCCUGGAUUUCCAUUUGCAUCACCAUAGCCACUUCCCAUGUAGCCACUGCCACUCCCCUGAAGUUCACCUGCACCUCCAAAAUUACUGUUUGGAGUACCCCCAGAACGCCCCCCAACAGCUCCAUAUCCAGCUGGAUUCCCAUAAGAUCCAUCAUUUCCACCAUAACUUCCAUAUCCAUAACCUUGAUUCCCAUAGCCAGCAGUUCCACUAGGAGAUUGACCAGUAGGUGUUGAACUGGGACCACCACUACCAGCACCAAUAUUUGGUGCACCCCAUGAAGCAGCAUUUCCAUAGCCCAUGGCACCGUAGCCAGAUGGAGCUUGACUGCUCCAUGAGCUUCUAGGGGCACCAGGUGGACCACUUGCAUACCCAGCAUUUGGGACAUUGGGAUUUCCAUAUGCAGCACCAGCACCAGCACCACCAUAACUACCAUAACCACCAUAGCCAACACCAUUAUUGGCAGGGCCAUAUCCAUAACCAGGUGCAUUAUAGCCAGAGGAACCAUAAGGAGGAAAGCCACCUCCCGUGCUCUGAGGCUGCAUAUACCUAUUUGAAUCCAUUCGACCAUCAUAUGAAUUUGUGUUGCCCCCAGAAGCACUAUAGCCCUGAUAACCACCACCACCACCACCGCCGCCGCCG